UGCAAGUCGAGCGGAAACGAUGGAAGCUUGCUUCCAGGCGUCGAGCGGCGGACGGGUGAGUAAUGCAUGGGAAUCUGCCCGAUAGUGGGGGAUAACCUGGGGAAACCCAGGCUAAUACCGCAUACGUCCUACGGGAGAAAGCAGGGGAUCUUCGGACCUUGCGCUAUCGGAUGAGCCCAUGUCGGAUUAGCUUGUUGGUGAGGUAAUGGCUCACCAAGGCGACGAUCCGUAGCUGGUCUGAGAGGAUGAUCAGCCACAUCGGGACUGAGACACGGCCCGAACUCCUACGGGAGGCAGCAGUGGGGAAUAUUGGACAAUGGGCGAAAGCCUGAUCCAGCCAUGCCGCGUGUGUGAAGAAGGCCCUCGGGUUGUAAAGCACUUUCAGUGGGGAGGAAAGCCUUGGGAUUAAUACUCCCGAGGAAGGACAUCACCCACAGAAGAAGCACCGGCUAACUCCGUGCCAGCAGCCGCGGUAAUACGGAGGGUGCGAGCGUUAAUCGGAAUUACUGGGCGUAAAGCGCGCGUAGGCGGUCUGAUAAGCCGGUUGUGAAAGCCCC
This 557-nucleotide ribosomal RNA is filed under the name uncultured bacterium. RNAcentral's name for it is "bacterial SSU rRNA". It matches the Rfam family "Bacterial small subunit ribosomal RNA", at positions 56 to 604 of the family's 1533-position model. The record is from RNAcentral.